Acanthochromis polyacanthus (spiny chromis) is the source of this 413-nucleotide long non-coding RNA. RefSeq lists it as uncharacterized. The record is from RefSeq and is a predicted model, not a curated record. Lineage: Eukaryota; Metazoa; Chordata; Actinopteri; Pomacentridae. The transcript has 2 exons.
GAUUUCUGUUUUGUCACCUGCAGACUUUUGUGUUUGCGCAUGGGGACCCACACGCCGUAUUUUACCACCUCAGUCUUUAUUGUAUGAUUGAGAAAUGGUAUUACUUUGUUGCUGAGGGCCUGCGGUGGUGGUGCUGGUGUCCGGUGGGUGCGUUCCCCUCCUUUUGGUGUGCUGUGUCCCUGGGGAAUUGGUUCACUUCCAGAGUGUGUGUCACGUGUGUUUGGGGUGUUUUUUAAAAAUAUUAUUUUGGGGGUACUUCCUUCACCUCCACUAGCCCCAUCCACCUACCGGCCAGCAACUGAUUAUAGUUCUCUUUUGUUUCUUUUUCUUUUGGCCCCUGGUGUGAAUGGUGUUUAUCUCUUUUUUUAUUCUGCUCUUUUAGAAAAAUUAUAAUAAAUUGUUUUAAAUUUGGA